GACGAACGCUGGCGGCGUGCUUAACACAUGCAAGUCGAACGGAAAGGCCCUGCUUUUGUGGGGUGCUCGAGUGGCGAACGGGUGAGUAACACGUGAGUAACCUGCCCUUGACUUUGGGAUAACUUCAGGAAACUGGGGCUAAUACCGGAUAGGAGCUCCUGCUGCAUGGUGGGGGUUGGAAAGUUUCGGCGGUUGGGGCUGUACUCGCGGCUUAUCCGCUUGUUGGUGGGGUAGUGGCUUACCAAGGCUUUGACGGGUAGCCGGCCUGAGAGGGUGGCCGGCCUCCUUGGGCCUGCGAGACGGCCCAGACUCCUACGGGAGGCAGCGGUGGGGAAUAUUGCACAGUGGGCGGGAGCCUGAUGCAGCAACGCCGCGUGCGGGAUGACCGCCUUCGGGUUGUAAACCGCUUUCGCCUGUGACGAAGCGUGAGUGACGGUAAUGGGUAAAAAAGCACCGGCUAACUACGUG
This 468-nucleotide ribosomal RNA is filed under the name uncultured bacterium. Its description in RNAcentral is "partial 16S ribosomal RNA". It matches the Rfam family "Bacterial small subunit ribosomal RNA", at positions 28 to 507 of the family's 1533-position model. The record is from RNAcentral.